Ictalurus punctatus (channel catfish) is the source of this 3808-nucleotide long non-coding RNA. The record is from Ensembl. Lineage: Eukaryota; Metazoa; Chordata; Actinopteri; Siluriformes; Ictaluridae.
GUAGCAUGAGUUAGCUAGCUUCGUGGCUUUGUUUUUCUUUUCUUUUUUUUAUUGAUAAACAAAUUGUUGUACAUCAGUCUAGCACCUAAUUAAUUCCAGGUGACUGUCAUGUACCAAGUAGCUAACCCUGUAGGUGAUUUCAGUCGAUGAAGAAGUCCCGACAAUGUCAGGACGGACCAGUGGAGGGGACGACUGCAUUUCUAGAUAUGCUUCAUGACGUCAGAAUGACAACAUGAACGAAACAGAUCGAGAUUAGCUGACUGGACAUUGUCCAGUUCAUAAAACUAGCUCACUUUUGCCUUAUUUCCACUACUCGGCAUAUAAACAUCUGUGUUGUUGCUAUAACAACUGCUUUGGAUGUGUGAGCCUGUGCAACUACAGUACGUACAAAAAAAAAAAAAAAGAAAAGAUUUGAUCUCAUGUAAUUUGCAAUGUGGACACUGUCAAAAAAAAAUCGGAUUUAAGAAAAGAAAUUAGAUUCGCGCUGCUGUCUGAAAUCUUUGAAGGUGCCGUAGUUUCGCGUGAAGCGCCUGCAUAUUGCAGAAACGAUGAAAUGAAAUUUUAAUGUUAAUAUAAAUAUUAAAAAGGGUUACGUUUCUCCUGUGGUGGAACUUUAGAAACGACUACAGAGCGCAGACCACUCAAAUCAGACUGUGCUGAAAUAUUAAUAAUAUGUUUGUAGCGAGAGAGUCGGUCUAAUGCGAGGUUAUGUUAUGCAAGAAGACGGUGUGGGGAUAAAAAUAAAUAAAUAAAUAAAUAAAAUAAAACACCCCACUCGGUCAGUAAUGCAAGCUGCAAGUGUGUGGACGGAGAAAUUAUUAAUGCAGCACAAACACAGUGCUGAAAACUGACCGGGGGAAAUAAAAUCCUUUGUACACAGAUGUAGGAUCAGCUCCUUCAACCCAAAACUUAACCUUUACUAUUGUUAGAUUAUAUCGAGAACUGAUCCAGGAUCAGUGGGUUUGAUUGCUUUUUAUUUCCCAACCUUAAUUGUCUGUAAAUGUGCGAAUGCAAUCAGUAAUUAGUUUGUAACGAAGCUUAAUAUUUUUCUCUUACCAUAUAAAGGUUUGCUAUGUAUAUUGUAAUUGUAAUAUAUUACAGUGUAUUAUCCAUUUUUUUCAGCAUUUUUUGAUAGAGUGUACAGACUGGGCUCCGUUCACCUCGAGCAAUCAGUUUUCUAAUCCAAAUCCCAUUGACGGCUUUAAUAAUUGAUGAACGGCUGCCACCAUACUUUAUAUAUUAAAGUAACUGGAGUACAUGUGAAUAUAUCGAGCUGUCAGGAUCAGUUAAGAGAAAUUGUGUUAUAUUGUCUCUGCUUUCGCAGGGCAAGAAGUGAUUUAAUGUUUAAUCUGCAAAUCUACACUUCCACAUCACCGUAACCGACUCGAUAUGAUGCUGUUACAAUGUCAUGAUGCUUUUUGUUUUUGUUUCAGUGUUGGUUGCAUAAUUUUAAUUUACCUGUGUGUCUUUGUCGUUUAUAAUUCGGUGAUAACCACGGCAUAAAAUCUUCGUAACGAGAUGUUAAUUGACAUUGCAGGGAUGGACAAAUCAUAAAUUCAUUAGCUAGCCCACUGGGAAAGUAAAAGCUCCAACGUGCAGCCCAUUCUCGUGUUUUGCUGCCCAGAAGUCCAAUUAAUUAGGCUGAAAAGCUGGCACGUAAUUUAACUCAAAAAUAUGACGAUGUAAUUAUGUGCAUUAAUAUAGAUUGUGGAAAAGUAAUGAGCACUUGAAUCCCUGAGAGCAGCGGAUUUACGUAGCUUUAGUCUUUAUCCUCUCCUCAGGUUCCGGUGAUGAAGCAUCACAUUUGCCCCCCAGUGCCCAACCCCACAACUUUUUGGCUAAUGUCUGAGAGGAGACAUGCGCUUCCCUAGGACUGACCAGUAGUGAGAUCAGAGAGAGAGAGAGAGAGAACAAGGAAAAGGUGCGUAAGUAAAUUAAUAAAGUUUCUAAAUAAUUGUAUAGCAGUAAAAUGAGAGACGAAGAAAAACAUGAAAUUAGUGCCCUACCUAUUGUUCACUCUAUUGGUAGUAGAGGGUGAGUUUGAAUACCGGGGAUGCCACAGCUAUCUAUGGCCAGGUCAUUAAUUUUUUUUUCUCCUGUCAAUCACAGCAGCACUAUCCAAUCGUCAGUAUCUGCAAGCUAGUGUGUAUGUGGAAGAGAGCAGAUAGUGCUUUCCUUCAAGUGUGUGAAAAAGCCGUUUGAAAAUGUCUCAAAGGAAGCAUGUGCUAGCCUUCAUCUUUCCUGGUGUAGGGAGGGAACUUGCUAAUUAACAAAUGUCUGCCUUAUUUGUAAUUGCCAUUAUACAUACACACACACAUACAGGACACCACAAGUAUUCUUUUCUGAUAUUCCAGCUUGGUGGGAAGUCAAGGGUCGAAGCAUAGAGUCCGUCAGGAAGCAGCUAUCCUGGAGCAGGCAGGAGUUAAAGGCCUUGUUCAAGAGCCCAACAGUUAUAUCUUGGUGGUAAUGGGUUUUGAACUCAACCUUCCUUUCGGUAGCAGAGAGCCUUAACUGCUGGGCCAUGGCUGACCUUUCACAGGGAACAUGGAUUCAUGGUUUGACCACACUACAUACAAUGCAUAAAGAAAAAUACAAAAGGUUGUUCUCUUGCAAACAGACUGUCAGAAUGUAUUAUUGCUGUCCUUCUAUACUGCUGCACUGCUUCGUCUUACUUAUUUAAAAGAGAACAAUUGGUCCAUGUUCUGCCCUUUAGAUGACUCAUUGCAACUGCCUUCUUGCACACCAGUGCUCCACGUUCACAUAGCUUUGAGGUGUUUGGAGGUCACUGGGAAAAAAAUACACUAAAUGUAUAAGGAGGAAAAAUACCCAUACUGUAAACCCUUCUCAGAAUAAAUAGUUGAAUUGGAGAAUCUUGAAGCCCCAACUAGUACCCAGUACUUUUCAUAAUACUGUAGCCCAUUUUGUUAUCUAGCUCUUUAGAGGUUCACCAAAAAAAGUAUAUAAGGCUACUUUUACACAGAGUUUUCUCAACCACUGAUUCAUGUUUUGUAGUAUAAGUGAUCAAGUGGCCACAUUCCAGUCCUUCCAGGAUUUCCAGAUUUUGCGAUCGCAGAAAUUAACGCAAAAUCAAGCAAACUGCAACAUUCUGAGCUUGAAAUUUUUCUAAAUUACCGCCGAUUCGGGCCAAGACGCAUCAUGUGACUUGACAUCAUCACAACGUGCAUUCAACCUCUUCGAUUCCCGUGCCAAUAAACAUCACUGUGAAAGACUGCGCAAAACAAUUUCGUGCAAUUGCGUUAGCUGCAGCAAAAUCAAGCAUUUUUGGAUGUAUAAAAUCACACACACAAAAAAAAAACCUCAGUGACAUUCAUUUUUCCAUUUAUAUUACCGCACGCGUUCUAAUAUGUUAUUUCUGUAGUUAUACAACAGUUACUUCCGAUCCACUAAUUUGAUUGGAUGAGUGGUGUUCCAACAAUGCUGAUGUUUAGUAUAACUACACUGGGAUUUCACUGUUUCUCUUACUCCACUCUUCUGUAUUCACCAAGUGGAAUUCCAGUUCUAGCAACAGUCCCACUGAAAUGGUUACUACAGUAGAGUUAGUGAGUUAGUUACUGUAGGUUAACACUCUUCACACUGAUAAGUUGACUGUAGGUUAGCCGUCUUCCCUCUCUGUUCCUUUGUUAACACUUCUACCACUGAAUUAUACCACUUUCAGCCAGGUACGAACAGAUAAAGCCUCGCACCAUUUGCUCACAUUCCUAUGUCUUCCAAAUACCAUACAUGGAGCUGUUUCUCUCUAUAUUAAUGUGCUUCCUGUUUUAUGCAAAUAUGCUCUUUUCUCCUAGCC